RNAcentral lists this long non-coding RNA (435 nucleotides) under Astyanax mexicanus (Mexican tetra). RNAcentral's name for it is "lncRNA (ENSAMXG00005017960.1)". Lineage: Eukaryota; Metazoa; Chordata; Actinopteri; Characiformes; Acestrorhamphidae. The record is from RNAcentral.
AGUCAGCAUGGAUUCGGAUCUAGCUGCAGCUCGUGAUAAAGAGGGAGAUGAUGUGCAGGAGGCUGAAGGCCAGACCUCAGCUUCUGAAAGUGAAGAGCAGGAUACAAAGAACAGAAAGAGGAAGAAAAAGAGGAAGAACACGGUAAAGAAGAAAAAGAGACGUCUGGACAAGAAGAAAAAGGUGAAUAAUGCCAGUCUUUUUGUAGAGAGUGAUGGUGGAGAAUGGAAAGAUACAUUUACAGUCUCACAUUCUGUCCAAUUUAAGAGAAAUGACAAAAACUAAACAUCCACCAGCUUCAGAGUGACCUUUAAAAAGAGGGUAACUUUAGCAGAUUUUGAUUUAGCGAACUAGAGAAUAUUAGAAAAGAUUAGAAAAUAGUAGAUGUCUAAAUGAACAUUCUAUGGAAUUUUAAUGUAAGCUUGAGCAAAGUAAAG